ACGUAAGGGGCGAGCGUUGUUCGGAAUUAUUGGGUGUAAAGGGCGCGUAGGCGGUCUGGCAAGUCUGGUGUUGAAGGCUAGGGCUUAACUGUAGUUUGGCGCUGGAAACUGCUGGGCUUGAGUUUGGGAGGGGGAGCUAGAAUUCCAGGUGUAGCGGUGAAAUGCGUAGAUAUCAGGAGGAACACCGGUGGCGAAGGCGACCCCCUGGCAAAAUACUGACGCUGAGGCGCGAAAGCGUGGGGAGCGAACAG
RNAcentral lists this ribosomal RNA (251 nucleotides) under uncultured prokaryote. RNAcentral's name for it is "partial 16S rRNA". It matches the Rfam family "Bacterial small subunit ribosomal RNA", at positions 525 to 775 of the family's 1533-position model. The record is from RNAcentral.